CUGAGUAAUAUCGCUUCUAUGAGAAGAGCAAAUGAUUUUGUAAUGGCAUGUAUCUGGAUGGAGGCUCUAGUUAUGUAGUGAGCUGCAUGGAAACCUGAUGCUGACUUUUCCUGGGGAAGUGCCCACUAGCAUUUUUUGCUUUGCCAAGCUGGUAUUUCCUUGUAUUUCCUUCUUCAGUUUCACGUUCCCCAUUGCAUUGGUUUGGUCCACGUAUGCAUUCUCCAACGAUCUUUUUCUUCACGCCUGGCAAUUUGUCAGGAGUAAAUAUGGAAUCUUCAAAGAAGAAAGCUACAAAACUGUAAUAUCCAGCCAUUUAUAUCAGUGAGCAUUUUCUGAUUUUUCUGGGGCUCGUAGUUUGGCCAGCUGUGGAUGCUUUUCUGUGGGCCCUCAUCAAGGGUACUGCUAGCUCUCAAGUUCUUAUUUCAAGAGACACAGGUAACUGACAUUUUAUUUAAGUGAAGCAACUGAGAGUCCAUACAAAGUAAGUAGCUGUUACCUCACUGGGUCAUUCUUGAAAAUCACAAACACAUUUUGUCUGAAAACCAAACUCUCAUAUUUUUUUCUUUGAAAUAAACCUCAAAAUGACAUAAAUCCCAGAAAAGGUCAACCUACUGUGUUGGCAAUGAGAUUGAAAAUGUCUUUAUAAUGGGAAAAGUUAGGCAGUCUUAACAUCAGGUAUCAGUGUAAACUCCAGCUGUGUAAUAAAGGGUGAAAAUAAUCUGAUUAACAA
Long non-coding RNA from Centrocercus urophasianus (Greater sage-grouse), 730 nucleotides. RefSeq lists it as uncharacterized. The record is from RefSeq and is a predicted model, not a curated record. The transcript is spliced from 2 exons. Lineage: Eukaryota; Metazoa; Chordata; Aves; Galliformes; Phasianidae.